UACGAAGGGGGCUAGCGUUGUUCGGAAUUACUGGGCGUAAAGGGCGCGUAGGCGGUUACGCAAGUCAGAUGUGAAAGCCCCAGGCUCAACCUGGGAACUGCAUUUGAAACUGCAUAGCUUGAGUAUGGGAGAGGUAAGUAGAAUUCCGAGUGUAGAGGUGAAAUUCGUAGAUAUUCGGAAGAAUACCAGUGGCGAAGGCGGCUUACUGGACCAUAACUGACGCUGAGGCGCGAAAGCGUGGGGAGCAAACAGG
This 253-nucleotide ribosomal RNA is filed under the name uncultured bacterium. RNAcentral describes it as "partial 16S ribosomal RNA". It matches the Rfam family "Bacterial small subunit ribosomal RNA", at positions 524 to 776 of the family's 1533-position model. The record is from RNAcentral.